This 254-nucleotide ribosomal RNA is filed under the name uncultured Delftia sp. RNAcentral describes it as "partial 16S ribosomal RNA". It matches the Rfam family "Bacterial small subunit ribosomal RNA", at positions 99 to 356 of the family's 1533-position model. The record is from RNAcentral. Lineage: Bacteria; Pseudomonadati; Pseudomonadota; Betaproteobacteria; Burkholderiales; Comamonadaceae.
CGAACGGGUGAGUAAUACAUCGGAACGUGCCCAGUCGUGGGGGAUAACUACUCGAAAGAGUAGCUAAUACCGCAUACGAUCUGAGGAUGAAAGCGGGGGACCUUCGGGCUUCGCGCGAUUGGAGCGGCCGAUGGCAGAUUAGGUAGUUGGUGGGAUAAAAGCUUACCAAGCCGACGAUCUGUAGCUGGUCUGAGAGGACGACCAGCCACACUGGGACUGAGACACGGCCCAGACUCCUACGGGAGGCAGCAGUG